UCUAUCUCUCUCAUAACUCACACAUCUCACAAGCUUCAUCAGACCUUCUCUCUCUCCUUCUCUCUCUCAGGCGACUCAAGAACAUCAACCACCUUCUCUUUCGGGCGACUCAGAAUCAGAGUCAGAAGCUUAAAUGGGCUCAAGGGAAAGCGGGUGAGAAUCGGGUACAUGUUUUGGAGGAGCACGGGUGAGUUUUCGUGGGGAUUUAUGAUGGGUUUAACGGUCCGGAUUCACCGGAUUAUCUGUUGUCGAAUUUGUAUCCUGCUGUCGGUCUUCUUCAUUUGAGUUCUCCCAUGGAGAAAUCUGAUGAACUUCUCCUGCGAGUUCUAAAGUCGUUGCCAUUAGGUUUCUACUCAGGUUUUCCCUAAGAUGGUUGAAGAUGGAUUUCCAAGCCCUAACGUUGUCACAAUCGGAAUCAUGCCGAUUUGUACUUUUUAUUGGUAUUAAUCUUUAUGGGUAUUCUUUAAGGUGUUUUUGUUUUGAUUCCCAAGCCCUAAGUUAGUUAUUUUAUUGUGUUUUGAUUGUAUGAAUCAAACAAUGUUAAUGUUGUUAUGUUUAUAUCGAGCUUUAGAGAUCUGCAAGUGUUUCCGAGAUCCCUCAAUGCGUUACGAGUGGCUUUGUAUUUGGCACACACAUUAGACCACGACUGCAACAAAGUGCGGUUUCUGUACCCCGACUACUUUAAUGCUUACAAAAUCUUGCUUAAUAAGGUAGCUACACGAUCUUAGAGGUGACGAGAUGGACUGUUGGUUGUGGUUUGUCGUUCUGCGUUAUUAUCUUUGCUGGGAUGGAAGCCCUGUGCUCAGAUUGAAGAUAUGUGAUUUUGGUUACUCAAUGGUAAGCAUUAAUUUACUUCUUAUAAUCUUGAGAACUAUUAUAUUGUUCUUAAAAGCUGUAUAUUAGAGGACUUAGCAAAGGGUGUUAAUUUAGUUCAUAUCCCAAGGAAUCUUUUAGACGACUUGCGUUUUUAUUUGAAGUAAAGUGUGUCUUCAACAACUAUGAACAUGCAUUUAUAUGUGAUGUUAAUAGUCCAUUUAAAAAAAAUCGAUAGAGAGAAGUUUGUUUGCCGCAGGAAGGUCUCAAAAGAACAAUUUAAUCUGAAACUUUUCUUAAAAUAAAGGGGCUUCCAAAAUUAUAGUAUAUAGUGAAUUGGUAUAUUUAUUAGGACCAUAAGUGUUAUGAGUUGCAACUGUUAGAGUUAAUCUAUGUUAGCGAUGAAAGAUAUUAAAAAUAUAAGUGAGGUCUGGUACAGGUUAGGGUGGGUUUUAAAAAGUCGGCAUUUUGGUUUGUGUUAAAACGAGUUUUAUUAAAAUGGAUGGGUCGAAAUGGCUUUUUUUUAAUAAAAAUGUAUUAGAUAACUAGAAAUAAUAAUUAUGACCAUAUUUAUUGUUGUCGAAAUGAGUGACGAGGGUUGUUGGUGCAUACAUCUGUCGUCUUCGUCUUAUAUCGAGUCUCGGUUUCGGUGCGGAUCUGAACAAGCGUGACAUCAUAUAUGUGACAUCACAUAUAUGACAUCACAUAUUGCAGCCAAGGUGGCAGCUAAAGCAUAUGAACUUGGUGAGCCCUCUAUUCAUACAGUCUGGGCCAACAAAACCAACAAACCAAACCAGACCGUCGACCGUUGGUUUUUGGUGCUUGAGAUUUUAAAAGACCCGCUCAUGGUUAUCAAGUUUUUCAAUUUUUUAUUCCAUUAAAAUUAAUUCACACACAAGGAGCAAUAUCUACACCAAUCUUAUAAAUGUAGCUUUAUAAAAGGAUUUUCAAUUUUCAAACUUUGAUGGCCAACCUGAUGAAGACACUUUUUUUGGGGUAAAAUUUCAUCAUCACAAGGUAUCAUGUGCACAUUUGUUGUAAACCAAACUUCAUGAAUUUAUCCAUUUUGUUUUUGUAUUUAUAAAUAACAAAUGAGCUGGGUUGGGUUAACCAAAACACCAUUUUACCUUUUUUUUUGUUUUUUUAGCUUGAACCUGAGCUCAAUGUAAGACUUGAGUGAGCUCGAGUUGCUCAAUUCAACCUUGACUUGUAUGCAAGAAUGUGCUCUCGAAUGGGAUGACAACCGUGAUAACCCCUGGUCUUAAAGUCAAGCUUUCAACUAUUCAGUCAAAGUCAACAUCUUUGACUAUGCCCAGAUUUGAAGUUCAGUGACUAGGUACUAGAGUUAGGAGAGCUUUGGAUGGUUGGUUAAUGAGUCUGAUAGUUUGUAUAGUUUGCUAUAUUAGAUCUAUUUGUGCUUUUCAAGAGCCUUGCUGCUGUAGAAACCAUUUUUGUUACAUGGCUUUUGAAGGGUACACAUUCUAUGAGCCUUGCUGUUAAAGUAAAUUUACAUUUUGCGGCUGGCCCCAAUAAAGGAGACACAAGCCAUUGCGAGAUCUGUGGCCGGAGCCUUGAUGCUUUUUUUUUGUUCACUUGGUUGCAAGCUGCUAAACAUGAGAACGAAGCUGAACCGAAGAAGAUCUGCAUCCAAUUUUUGCUGAAUGGGGACCACUUCGUCAUGUCCGUGUUAUCAUGGAGUGAAAUUUCGGUGUUUCCGGUGGAUUCGCAUUUAUAGAUUUCCCGACCACGGGGUCUGCACGCUCGAUGAUGGAUAAAGUUGGAGAUGAGGGUCUUCUUGUUGAUGGUAGGAAGCUAUUUUUUGAGUAUAGUAAGCCAGCUGGAGGAGCCGGUGGACCUUUCUUCGGGUCAGACGGGUCAUCGAGGGCGGGUCAUAUGAACCACUGAAGCACAAUGCUUCUUCCGGAUUGGAUGUGCACAAUAUGUGGCUGCGUUAAUUUUGCUAGGAGGACAUCAUGUUUUCAGUGUAACGAACCUAGGACAGACAAUGCUCCUCUUGCUGACAUAGCAUCAUCAAAUCAUGCUUCAUUUGGUAAGAAAGGAGAGACAGGCCUCACUCCUAUUAGAUGAAAAUGCUGACAGGGCCCUACUCCAAUAGUUAUUUCCCUUUUAAUCCCUAUAGAAGGGUAUGGCUGACCUUUCAUUAAAUCAUUUUCACCUUCCAGAGUAUGGCUGACCGUAUAAUCGUGAUGAGAACUUCACUUAGGGAAAACAUCGAGAAGUUGGGCUCUCCGUUAUCAUGGGAACACAUAACUAAUCAGAUUGGCAUGUUCUGCUAUAGUGGAAUGACUCCUGAACAAGUUGAUCGCUUGACAAAAGAGUUUUACAUUUACAUUGUUGUAGCGGGCCAUGCUUAUUGUUCUAAUUGUUGUAGCUGGCCAAGCUUAUUGUUUUGCUAAUUGUUAUGACAGGACAUAAAAAGUGUAUACGGGUCACUGUUAAAGCUGCUUACAAUUGUUUUUCUGAAUACAUGUUAUGGGUAGUUGUAACGGG
Helianthus annuus (common sunflower) is the source of this 3324-nucleotide long non-coding RNA. RefSeq lists it as uncharacterized. NCBI's taxonomy places the organism in Eukaryota, Viridiplantae, Streptophyta, Magnoliopsida, Asterales, Asteraceae. The transcript has 10 exons. The record is from RefSeq and is a predicted model, not a curated record.